CGAACGCUGGCGGCGCGCUUAAGCAUGCAAGUCGAACGGCAAGGCAGGUGCUUGCACCUGCCCUAGAGUGGCGGACUGGCGAGUAACACGUGGGUGACAUGCCUUUAGUUGGGGAUAGCUACUAGAAAUAGUAGAUAAUACCGAAUGUGAUCAAUAUUUAUAGAUGAUGUUGAGGAAAGGAGCUAAGGCUUCGCUAAAAGAUUGGCCCGCGGCCCAUUAGCUAGUUGGUAGGGUAAAGGCUUACCAAGGCGAUGAUGGGUAUCCGACCUGAGAGGGUGAUCGGACACAUUGGGACUGAGAUACGGCCCAGACUCCUACGGGAGGCAGCAGCUAAGAAUAUUCCACAAUGGACGAAAGUCUGAUGGAGCGACGCCGCGUGGAUGAAUGAAGGCCGAAAGGUUGUAAAAUCCUUUUACACUGGAGGAAUAAGCAGAGUAGGGAAUGACUCUGUGAUGACUGUACAGUUUGAAUAAGCAACGGCUAAUUACGUGCCAGCCGCCGC
This 502-nucleotide ribosomal RNA is filed under the name uncultured bacterium. RNAcentral describes it as "bacterial SSU rRNA". It matches the Rfam family "Bacterial small subunit ribosomal RNA", at positions 30 to 518 of the family's 1533-position model. The record is from RNAcentral.